Long non-coding RNA from Galleria mellonella (greater wax moth), 1385 nucleotides. RefSeq lists it as uncharacterized. NCBI's taxonomy places the organism in Eukaryota, Metazoa, Arthropoda, Insecta, Lepidoptera, Pyralidae. The transcript is spliced from 3 exons. The record is from RefSeq and is a predicted model, not a curated record.
CACACACACACACACACACACUUUAGAUGAACCCAUGAGGCGGAGGCAACGGUGCAUUAAUGUUAUACGAUCAGCCAUAGAUACAGACCACGUCCCAGCGAUAAGGGUUAUAGCCUGGGAUAACCUAGUUACUAAGCAUUAUUAGACACGCUAAAUGUAGAAUACCUCACUUUUCUGUAAGAUGAAAUUAUAUUCAAGGUAUAGAAAAUGAGCACUGUAAUGCUUUUGGCGUAAACCGACGAUCUAAAUCUGGCAACGCAGAAUUAUAUGAAAAUUUUAAGGUAAAAACAUUUAAAGAAUGGCAAAAAAUUCAAGGAAGUAUUAUCAAAGAAAGGUUAUUAACCUCAUUACAAAGAAGUUAGAAAGAUCAAGUAAAUCAAUACUGUAGGUGCCUAACUAGGUAUAAAGGACGCAAUGAAAGCUAAUGGACCGAACGGGAGGUCGUUCCGUGCCUCCACAAGCAUGACCCAUUGGGUUGCAACAAGUCGAUGGUAUUGAAUUAUGCCAGUAGAUAUUCAUAUAAUACCUAUAUUAUAACCGAGAAUAAAUACAUCUUUGAAGACUUACAUAUUUUUGUUGGAGCGUUUUAUUUAUAAGGUGCAGUUUAAAAACUCCUUUAUAAGUAAGUACUGUUUUAACGUGCAGUACUUAAUUUACUGACUUUAAACCUAAACGUAAGUUUGCCUCGCCUUGUAAGAUAAGCACCGCUUCGCAGAAGAGUCUCAUGAGUCACAUGAGAGUAAUGCGACUAGUUUAAACUGACGCGGCGGCGACACAGAUGCACAGCCACAGGCGGAACACGGGCACUAAACUGUUUAGGAAGUGUGAUGAUGAUAUGGCUAAUUGUAAUUACGUACUUAUAACUGUUGCUCAUUGAGAUAAAAUAAAAUUAUUAUUAGUGCCUACCCCGCAAAGGUCUUAGCGUGAAAAUAGAUAGAUAAAGUAGUAAAAAACUGCAAUUUUACUUAUACAUAUAUAUAGGGAGAGAGAGAGAGUAAAAGUCAUAAAUGUUUACAACUAUGUUUACUCCAUAAAAAUUUAUAAUUGAUAUGUUAAUCAAAAUCAACACAUUUGUUCAAUCGUUAACCUAUAAUUAUAUUUUACGAGCACAAGCGUUAAUAAAUACAACAAACUGAACAAGAAUUAGUAGUGAACAAUAAAUCGAACACAGUGUACGAUUUAUUUGUAUCAAUUGAAUAAAUACGUAUUGAUGUUUUUAUACAAAAAUAGAGUACAACGUUGUAACUAUUAAAAGAUGCCACAACCAGGAAUUACCUGAAAAUAGUCAACGGAAAUAACCAACUACAACCUUGCACUGUGGAUCAAUAGAGCCUUGAACUUUGCGUCGAACUGAACCUUAUAUACAGUUCCUGAUUUGCUAUACU